This 941-nucleotide unclassified non-coding RNA is filed under the name Hevea brasiliensis (rubber tree). Lineage: Eukaryota; Viridiplantae; Streptophyta; Magnoliopsida; Malpighiales; Euphorbiaceae. The record is from RNAcentral.
UCUCUUUUUGCACGUUCUUCCAUUUUAGCCAUGUAGUUUGUGAGUUCUCUACUUUCAGAUCCAACAACUUCUCUUACCUCUUCGGGUCUUCCUUCAAGAUCAUUCAACAAAUCUAUCAUAUACGGGCUUUGUUUAGCAUUUCGCAAUCUCUCUUUUUGCACGUUCUUCCAUUUUAGCCAUGUAGUUUGUGAGUUCUCUACUUUCAGAUCCAACAACUUCUCUUACCUCUUCGGGUCUUCCUUCAAGAUCAUUCAACAAAUCUAUCAUAUACGGGCUUUGUUUAGCAUUUCGCAAUCUCUCUUUUUCCCUCCUCAAUUCAUUUCUCUCCUGCUUCGACAUUUUCUCCUCGCCCAUAGAAGCAGGCGCAAAUUUGGGGGGUCGAUAUACACCAUCCUCUGCAGUGUUACUUGUUUUACUAACAAGCAUAUCAGGUUUUGGACGAUACUUCAAUAGGUCCUCCUUCUGAGUAUCUGUUCCCUUCUCACUUAUAACUGACUUCUCAGAAGCUGUGUCACUAUCUCGUGUGAGCUUCUGAAUUUGAUACUGUAGUUUCUUGUCAAUGGGGCGAAUCUUCUCCAAAAACAAUCUCAUCUCCACCAGACUCCGAACUACUGGAUGCCCUUCAAUUGAGAGUCCUUUUGCCUUGCGGAGCAAAUAAUAGACAAGUGAUUGACAAUAAUUCAGAAGUAGCAGAUGCUUCGUUUCAAGGUAACUUAUUCCAUCUGCUGUUGGAAAGUGAUCCGCUUUCACCUUUGCGGUUAAAGCUUGUACUUUUAAGCUCACUGUAUCCAAUCCUGCUUUCAUCUCCUUCAAUACCGUAACUAGUUGCGGAGCUUGCCUGCUUAUUCUUUGACUCGUUUCGACUGACGCCAUAUUUUACUACUGAUAUCGCUGAGAGUGAAGAAGAUACUCCGUUGUUGUCAAUGGCGGCUUCCUCUCUG